Molecule: long non-coding RNA, 1981 nt
Organism: Cannabis sativa
Lineage: Eukaryota; Viridiplantae; Streptophyta; Magnoliopsida; Rosales; Cannabaceae
Exons: 3
Source: RefSeq, a predicted model, not a curated record
UAAGUUAUACUUAUCCAACGAUAAGAAAAAUCAAAACCUAUCUCAUUCUCUUACUUUUCACCUUUGGCCACUAUAGAACCAAAGAGAAAAUCAGUUUUUCUCUUCUAAUUCAGACCAAAAUAUUGAGUGCUUGUAGCAAGAAUUUGAGUAGUUAGUAAAAGAAUAACCCAAGAGGCCUCUAAAUCUUCAAGCAACUGUUUCCACUCAAGCUGACCGACACACCUGAAAUCAGAAUUAAGGCUAGUUCAAUAGAAUGGAUGCUAGGAAAAACACGAGAAGCCAAGGAAAUUUGAUCCGAUCAAGUGGUGGUUAGGGAGUUCAUAUUCCCCCUAAUGUUCAUGGUCGAGGCAGAGGUCGAAGAGGUGUAGCUAAUGGUCGAAUAACGUUAACCCACCAUAGGCUGCCUAGAAUUGGGAGUAGAGGUUUGUAGAAAUUCAAGGCAAAAUUAAUGAUCAAGACGAAGAAAUCUGAUGCCUAAGGCAGAAGGGUGCUUCUGUGAUGCAUGCUCCUGAGGUGCAAAUAGCUCUUGCUCCUGUUGUGCAAGUGGAGUAGGUUGUUGUUGGUAAUUGUAUGGAACCAUUAUAUGAAAAGUUUUGUAAGCAAGCACCUCCAGUCUUUUUGGGAGGUCCAGAUGCUAUGAAAGUCGAGCAAUGGUUAACAGUUAUCAACAGAAUACUGGGUGUCACUGGCAAAAAUCAGGUGACCUGUGCCACCUUUCAAUUCCAAGAGGAUGCCCUGGUGUGGUGGGAUAUAGUGUCCCUUACUCGUGACAUUACUAAAAUUACCUGGAAAGAGUGCCAAGAUUUGUUUAACGCUAAGUACUAUAAUGAAGCACUUCAUAGUACAAAAACGAAAUAAUUCACCUAGUUGGCUUGAGGAGUCAAUAUGUCGGUUACAGAGUACAUGACCCAGUUUAGUAGAUUGCCUUGAUUAGCCUCGAGAAUUAUGCUAAUCAAUUUCAACAAGAGGGAAAAGUAUUUAGCGGGAUUGAACAUGAAAUCAAACAUGAUUUGAUGAUUACCACUGAUGACACGAUUACUUAUGAUGCUAUGGUAGAGAAGGCACCAUAAGCUGAGGGCACAAUAGAAUGGAUUUAGGAGUCCCUGGGACACAAAGUGUUGGUGAGGCCACUACUUCUCCUACCUCUGGUUUCAGUAGGUGGUAGCGACUUAACCACUGAUCAAAAGAGGAAAGUUCCAUUUGUGUUCGGUGGCUCGAGUCAAAAUAAGAAGUUCUGAGAAAACUAAGGCCAUGGUAAUCAACAGGGUGGUUCUGAGAGCUGUUACACUUACCUGGAAUGCGCUAGUUGUAAGAAGCAUUAUUUGGGUGAGUGUAAGCACCAAGCAUGUUUCCAGUGCGGUAUACCUGGACAUUAUAAAAGAGAUUGCCUAAAGUUAAAGAAAGAAGAGUAGAAAAUAGAGGCAAACCCGCUCUAGCUAGGGUGUUUACCCUUACUCAAGUCAAUGCUAAAUCUAGCCCUUUAGUGGUGACAAGUUAGCUUUUAGUCAACAACUUUUUUUACUCUGUAUUGUUUGAUUCUGGAGCCAUACAUUCCUAUGUGGCAGCCAAAGUAAAUGAUAAGUUGGAUAGGUUAUGUGGCAAUUAUGAUAUAGGGUUUGGAACCCUGAUGCAUGGCAAAGAAUUAGUUAUCUUUAAAAUGUGGAUUAGGUCUACGCUGAUUAGGAUUGAGGAUAGGGAGUUGAGUGCUUACCUAGUGGAAUUGAGUAUAGCAGAGUUUGAUAUUAUACUUGGAAUGAAUUUCUUGUCCAAGUACGCUGCUAGUAUUAAUUGUAAGUGGAAGAUGGUAACCUUUCAACUUGAGGGUGAAGAACUAUUUGUAUUUUUGGGGUCAGUUAAAGGCUCUUGAAUUCCAAUAAUCUUAAUGUUGAAGGCUAAAGACUUGUUGCAUGAAGGAUGCGUAGGGUUUUUAGCAGUAGUGUUGGAUACCACCCAACCAGAGUCAGUCCGACCUAAGGACAUU